This 492-nucleotide ribosomal RNA is filed under the name uncultured bacterium. RNAcentral describes it as "partial 16S ribosomal RNA". It matches the Rfam family "Bacterial small subunit ribosomal RNA", at positions 29 to 507 of the family's 1533-position model. The record is from RNAcentral.
AGUGAACGCUGGCGGUAGGCCUAACACAUGCAAGUCGAACGGCAGCACAGUAAGAGCUUGCUCUUACGGGUGGCGAGUGGCGGACUGGUGAGGAAUACAUCGGAAUCUACUUUUUCUUGGUGGAUAACGUAGGGAAACUUACGCUAAUACCGCAUACGACCUACGGGUGAAAACAGGGGAUCUUCGGACCUUGCGCGAUUGAAUGAGCCGAUGUCGGAUUAGCUAGUUGGCAGGGUAAAGGCCCACCAAGGCGACGAUCCGUAGCUGGUCUGAAAGGAUGAUCCGCCACACUGGAACUGAGACACGGUCCAGACUCCUACGGGAGGCAGCAGUGGGGAAUAUUGGACAAUGGGCGCGAGCCUGAUCCAGCCAUACCGCGUGGGUGAAGAAGGCCUUCGGGUUGUAAAGCCCUUUUGUUGGGAAAGAAGUGCAGCAGGUUAAUACCCCGAUGUUCUGACGGUACCCAACGAAUAAGCACCGGCUAACUUCGUG